This 81-nucleotide microRNA precursor is filed under the name Python bivittatus (Burmese python). RNAcentral describes it as "microRNA pbv-mir-92b precursor". Its record names the gene pbv-mir-92b. The record is from miRBase by way of RNAcentral. Lineage: Eukaryota; Metazoa; Chordata; Lepidosauria; Squamata; Pythonidae.
GUUGGGGGCAGGGUUGGGGCUGAGUGCAAUGUUGUGAUUUUUCCCACGAAUAUUGCACUCGUCCUGGCCUCCCGCUGUUCU